CAGGCCUAACACAUGCAAGUCGAACGAUGCUUUCGGGCAUAGUGGCGCACGGGUGCGUAACGCGUGGGAAUCUGCCCUUGGGUUCGGAAUAACCGUUGGAAACGACGGCUAAUACCGGAUGAUGUCGAUAAGACCAAAGAUUUAUCGCCUGAGGAUGAGCCCGCGUAGGAUUAGCUAGUUGGUGGGGUAAAGGCCUACCAAGGCGACGAUCCUUAGCUGGUCUGAGAGGAUGAUCAGCCACACUGGGACUGAGACACGGCCCAGACUCCUACGGGAGGCAGCAGUGGGGAAUAUUGGACAAUGGGCGCAAGCCUGAUCCAGCAAUGCCGCGUGAGUGAUGAAGGCCUUAGGGUUGUAAAGCUCUUUUACCCGGGAUGAUAAUGACAGUACCGGGAGAAUAAGCUCCGGCUAACUCCGUGCCAGCAGCCGCGGUAAU
RNAcentral lists this ribosomal RNA (436 nucleotides) under uncultured bacterium. RNAcentral's name for it is "bacterial SSU rRNA". It matches the Rfam family "Bacterial small subunit ribosomal RNA", at positions 43 to 524 of the family's 1533-position model. The record is from RNAcentral.